GUGAAUCAUCAAAUUUUUGAACGCAAAUUGCACUCUCUUCGGAGAGUAUGCCUGUUUGAGGGUCAGCCUAAAAAAAAUCGACAUUGUUGCUGUUAUUUAAUGGUGACUUUCGUCGGAGAUUGGGUUAUCUUAAACCUUUUUUUUUUUUGUUUAAAGGGAUUAAAAUUUUUUUUUACCGUUCCCUUGAAGGUUCUAAGGUUUUUUUUUUUUUUUCUUUU
This 218-nucleotide unclassified non-coding RNA is filed under the name Glomeraceae sp. Its description in RNAcentral is "partial contains 5.8S ribosomal RNA and internal transcribed spacer 2". The stretch from base 1 to 65 matches the Rfam family "5.8S ribosomal RNA", at positions 84 to 154 of the family's 154-position model. The record is from RNAcentral. Lineage: Eukaryota; Fungi; Glomeromycota; Glomeromycetes; Glomerales; Glomeraceae.